AAGAGAUUGCUGUGAGCUGCAAUCCACUAGUAUUAUUCAUUAAUCAUAUAUUAAAAACAUUAUUUUUCUUCAAUUUUAUUUUAAGCAUAGCCAACAUUGGAAUAAAAACUUUAUAUAAUCCACCAUAAUGACUUUAGAAUUAACGCUUAAUUUAUAAUAAAAAUUUAAGCAUUUUCUAUUGAGAAUACUUCAUAAAAAAAUAUAAACAUUGAAACCGUCCAUAAACUUAAUUAAUUUCUGUUUAUUCUUAAAGGUAAAAGUUUUAAUUUAACAAAAUUUACAUAGUGAAAGAUCACACUCAUAAUCUAAAUUACGACGAUCGUCCUCGCAAAUAUCGUUUGAUGCUGAAACUUCCCAUUCAGGUUUGUUAAGAUGGAUUAUUCUAGUCUGUAAUUGGGAAGACUAGUACUGGUUGGUUAAUUGAUUAAGGACAAUCUAAUUCUAGUAUAUAAAAAGAAUGGAAAAAGGGCAGGCUAUCUGUCUCUUAGCAUAAUGGUUGUAUUAUUGGGAUUUGGAAUGUAGCUAGAGCUACCUUUGUUUGCUCCAAAUUCUACUCAGUGCAAUCCUUAUCUAGAGCAGCCUCUCUCUUUCUAAUUAAUGGAAACAAAAACGAAGUGACAUAAUGUGUUUUCUUUUUGGUUUUUCUGUUUUACUUUCCUUCUCAACAAUAUGAAAAUGAAAUAAAUAUAACAAAAUGUGUCCUUUUUUCUUUUUUUUUUUACUUGUAUAAAAUUAAUUUGAAGAGUGUUAUUGAAAAGGAAAAGUAUUCAUGUAAUGCAAUUCAGGAACAUAUUAGCAAUUAUGGUGAUGUAGACAAUAAGUUUUAAAUUUAGAGUAUUAGUUUGAAGAAUAAUUCUAAUUAUCACUUGGACUAUAAUUAGUGACCUAUGGGCCCUUGUUUUGAUCAAUAAUGCUAAUGCCUCUACCUAACUUAUCACAUCCUUCCCCACCACCAUAGAAAGAUUAGUAGAUAGAUAGAGAUAGAUAGAAACUAUCUAUUCUAAUUCUAAAUGAAGAAAUUAAAAAAAGAAAAAUAGCAAUAUCAUAAAUUUAACUCUGAACUUUGACUGAUGAUUCUCUAGAUUUUGAAAAAGUGUUGAUUCGGUAUCUUUCUUUUUCACAUUUUAUUUUAUUAAUGAAUAUAAUUAUUAUUGAAAUUUAAAAAUUAAGGGAAUUACAAGAAUAAUCGAUGAUACGAGAUUCAAGAAAUCAGAAGAAUAAUGAACAAACACAUGGUCAAAUUUAUGCAUUAUCCUCUAUAUUUCAAUUACCUUUUUUGCUUUUAUCUAUGCACAUUCAUACAUACAUACAAAACACGAGCCGCAUACCCUAGCUGAUUAAUUAAUAGCCGAUCCAUUCUGGAGCCGACUGAAAUGUCGUGCCUAACAGAACACUGAAAAGCUGCACUCUCUCUCUCUUCUCAUAUAUCCCUCAGAACUCGUUUCAGUGUCCUCCAGAUUCUCUCUCUCUCUCCAUAAAAGGCCCAUCUCUGCUCUUUUGCCACCCACACAAACACAAACACAAACAAUCCAUACCCAAUUCCACAUUCUUCUUUGCUGUCCAUUUUCUCAACUCUUUUAAUCUUUAUCUUCUUCUUUCUCGAAUAUUGAUCAUAACUAACCAAAAGCAAAGCAGAACAAAACAAAGAAGAACGAAACCUAAAUUACCCACUUCCCAUUUCCCAAAAUGCCAUCAGACUCUUCUUCCACUGAAACUAGAAGAUUAACUAAACCCCAUAACACAGGAGCUCCACCGCCAGACCAAGAACACCUUCCAUGCCCGCGCUGCGAUUCUACUAACACUAAGUUCUGCUAUUACAACAACUAUAAUUUUUCCCAGCCUCGUCAUUUCUGUAAGUCUUGUCGCCGUUACUGUCCCCCCGGCGGCACCCUUCGUGCCAUUCCGGUUGGUGGUGGCACUCGGAAAAAUGCUAAAAGAUCACGCACCACUUCUAGUGGUUGUACUGUAGUAGGGCCUAUGACGGCCAACACAGCUGACCAUAACAUUCCAUUACCGGCUACACCAGUACUGGUCCCACUUAUGGCCAAACAAGGAAAUUCUAUACAGUUUGGCUGCGGUGGCGGUGAUGGGAAGGGGAAUGGGUGUGGUUCUAGUGGUAAUUCUACAGUAUCUGGUAGCUUUACUUCUUUGUUGAAUACUCAGGGCCCUGGAUUUCUAGCAUUGAGUGGGUUUGGGCUUGGACUUGGAUCUGGGUUUGAAGAUAUGGGCUUUGGGCUUGCAAGAGGAGUCUGGCCUUUUCCCGGUGUAGGAGAUGGUGGUGCUGGCGGUGUUGGUAGCAAUGGCGGUUCUGCUGGAGGAAUGAGUAACACGUGGCAAUUUGAGAGUGGUGAUAAUGGAUUUGUAGGUGGGGAUUGCUUUUCUUGGCCAGAUCUUGCUAUUUCAACCCCAGGAAAUGGUCUUAAAUGAGAUAUUGUUCUUUUAGUAGUUCUUGUUUUUUCUCUGAUGGGUUUAGACCCAAUUCUAGGAAAAAAAAAAAAAAAAAUUAAAGAACCUUGUUUGAUGGGUUUAGUUAAUUAAUUACUACUUACUAUUAAGUGUUGAGAAGAUAAUUAGGUUUGAAAUUAGAAAGAAAAAUAUGUAACUUUUCUUUACUCUAUUUCAUGUGAUUUUGUUAGUUUGAUGUACCUCUUUUUGUGUAGUUUUCAUAUACAUGCCACCCUUUAAAUUCUCUUUUCCUCUCUAGCAAAUUUUUAAUACAAACUUUUUAUUGAAUGAUUAUGGACCGACUAAUCUUAAUUUAAUAUGAAAUUCACAUUUUCUUCUAUUCAUUUCAUGAAUGGGUACAAAUGGAAUUUCCCUUUUAGAGUUUGCAGCAUAUACUUCAAUUUGUAUUUAAUAUAUAAUAAUUGACUGAUUUGAUUUUUGAGGCCCACAUUUAAAUUUUAAUUCUUAGUAUAAUUUAUAAUGAUUUGCUAGUUCAACAUUAAUUGAGUGCAAUCAUUCUCAUUGCAUAAGCAUCACCCAAUUUCUACUCUCCUAUCCCAAUGCAUUACCUGCUCUACAGAAUUCUGCAAUUGAAGUUUCAUAUGCCAGGACCCACAGAGUUGGACCUCUAGAACCUCAGCCUAAUGGUUAAUCAAAUUGCAAAAAUUAUAUUUUCUUUUAUUUUGCAAUUAUUAAAGGAGCAUUUACAUUAAUUAUGAGAUAAAAAAUUAAUUAUGGUGUCGCUUGGUGUUUAUAAUUAAAUUUAACUUCAAUUUUCAUAUCUUUUUCAUUUAAUCAGAUAUUUUGAAUUCAAACCAUGAAAUUUAAUUAGUAAAAAAAUUAUAUAUCUUAUUAGACCAUUUUUAUCGUUGAAGAUACAAUUAUUUUCUUACUCUCGUAACCUACUUGAUACUUCGUUAGUAACAACGUUUGCAUUUUUUAUUGAAAGUGACAUAUUAUCUUAAUAUAGGGUAUAUUAGAAAAAUGCAAGUAAAAUUUAAUAUUAUUCUAAUAAUAUUAAUUGCUUUGCUUAAUCUAUGUAAAAAUAAAAAUAAUAGUAUCUUUUUAGGCCAAAGAGAGUAAUAUAAUAAAAAAAUUAAAUUAAAUAAGAUAGUGUUAUUUUUCUUUAACAUAAAAUAAAAAAGUUAAAGCCAAAUCAAACUAAAUUAUAUAUGAUAGACAUUAUAUAUAAAAGUACGAGGAUAUUGGGUUCCUAAAAUGCGCCGCUAAAUUUUCAAAUUGACAAAAAUAUUAUGGAUCGAGAACUUUAAUUUUAUUGGUUAAAAAAUAAAUAUAGUUUAAUUUUAAUUGUUUACGUUAAUUUACUAUUUGAAUCUAAAUUUUAUUAAAAAUUUUAAUCUAAUUUUAAAUAGAAAAUUUUCUAAUUUAGUCUCAUUUAAAUUUGGAUAAAAAUAAAAUAAAAUAUUAUUAUUUGGAAAUUUUAAUUUUAUUGGUUAACUGAUUUCCUAUUAUAUAAUGAUUUGCUACAUGUAAGGGGAAAAAAAAAAAAGGAUUACGUUAUAUUAAUCCUAUUAUACUACUUUCUACAUUGAAGGAAAAAAAAACAACUGACUAAUUUCUUUCUAUUAUAUUCAUACCUUCUAUACGUGGGUAUAUAUAUAUUCAAAAAAAAAAAAUAUAAAUGAAGAUAUUAUUAAUAUAAAUUAUUAUUAAUUAUAUAUAUAUAGAUUUUGUUUUAUAUAUGAGUUUGAAAAUUAGCUUGUUCGACUCAAUUAGGACUAUUAACUCGAUUAGGAGUAAGAAAUUAGCUUAUUCUACAAAUUAUAUGAAAUCAAUUAUUUACAUAAGCUAGUGUAAAAAAAUUUAUAGUGUUAUCAAAAUCCUUAAUUAUAGCGGUAUAUAUAAUAAAUCCCUCUUAAAUUUUAGGGUGUCACAAUUUUUUUUUUAAAACUUAUAGGUAUUAAUUUAGAUAUUUGGCUACAUAAUUAAUUAUUUCUUCUAUAUGUUUAGAUUUUGAUUUGAUAGAAUUAGAAUAAUAAGGAGAUGACUACAAUAAAUUGAAUUUUUUUAAAAGAAACCGAGCAAAGCUGAAAUUUGUUUAGAACCAAAUCAAACUAAUUUAAUUAAGCUUAGUUUGAUUUACCUUUUUGAUUUUUCCUUAUUUUUUAAGAUUUUUAUAACUUAAAUAGGUUUAAAAAAAAAAGAAUUUUUGAUUUUUCUGUGUACACUAAAAUCAAACUGAUAAAUUUUAAAAUCAAAUUCAUUUGAUUCGAUGGAUUCAGUCUAUUUUUUCAAACAGUGCUCAACCUAAUCCAAUCGAUGAAAUAUGGUAUGGAUAUAAAAAUUUCCAUUUAAAAUUUUCAAGGAAAAUUUCUUUUCCUAAGAUAGCAGAUAUCUAUUUACGUUAAAUUAUAUAUAUAUAUAUAAUCAGUCCAUCUUAUAUUGUCAAAAUCAUUGCAAAUCAUAAAUUCAUAACUAAGUGCUCGUUAAGAUUUUCCAUGGCUCGUCCUAUCUUUAGCAUUUUAGUAGCUUUUUUGCUUAUUAUCAAGUUCCAUGAUUUUGCUGGUAUGUUAUAUUAUUAUUAUUUUUCUGAAAAAUACUAUCAUAUUUGUUUAUUAUUAUACUUUGUAUAGAUUUUUUUGAGUCUGUUGGGUAAAAUUAACUGUUUAAGUGGUUAGUUAUUAACUGUUUGAGUAGUCCUAAAACACUACAAGCUAAACAUUAGAUUAGUUAUUUUUUUUAUAAAACGCUGCCUUAACUUCUAAAUGAAUUGGUUACACAGUUUAAACAAAAUUUUUUCAUCCCUUACUUCUUAUUAAGUUACCCAGUUUUUUCCGAAUGCUAAUUUUGUUGCCUGGUAAACCACCAUUGGUGCUAUGCAGGAGCAGAAAUUGGUGUGACCUUCUCAAGACUAGCAGACAACUUUCCACCAGCACAAGUAGCUGUAAACUUUGCUGAAUCGAAAGGCUUCAAAAGAAUUCGUCUUUACAAGCCCCAUCACGAUGCUUUACAAGCAUUGAAAGGUCAGGGCAUACAAGUGAUCUUAGGAGUUGGCGACGACGAAGUUGAAGCAGUAAGUAAAUCCGCUGCACCGAAAUGGGUCAAAGACAAUGUUGUGCCAUAUGCAAAUCAAAUAACCAUUAUAGCCAUAGCUAUUGGACAUGAUCUAAUCCCUAAUAGUAAAUUAGCAGUUUACGUUCUUCCUGCACUGCAAGCAAUGAAAGAAGCACUGGAAGAUCAUGGGCUUACUCUUAUUUCUGUAACAACGCCAUUUACAUUAAAUACACUUCUUACACAUUUUCCUCCAUCCCAUUCAACUUUUGAUCCGCAAAAGAUUUAUCUUAUUAAACCCAUUAUCAAUUUCUUGGCAACUCACAGUCCUCUUCUUUUAUGUGAUAUUUACCCUUAUGAAGCUUAUCUAAUGGACUCUCACCUUGUUAGUUUAGAUUAUGCUUUGCUUAAUAAGACAAAUGUUGAGGUUCUAGAUGGUCCAUUCGAAUAUACCAAUAUGCUUGAUGGUUUAGUAGAUGCUUUUUACAGUGCAAUUGAAAAACUUGAAGCAGGACCUGUUAAGAUUGUUGUGAGUGAAACUGGGUGGCCGUUUUCUGAAAAAAUAUAUGCUUCUGCUCAAUAUGCAAGAGCGUAUGCUUCAAAUGUGUUCAAACGGGGACAAGCAAAUACAGGAACACCGAAGAAACCUUUUUGGGCAUUGGACGUUUUUGAAUAUAACUUGUUUUUUCAAAAUGAUGCUCCUCUAGAUAAGAAACCAUAUGCUUUAUUUUACCCUAAUAUGUCUGCCAUAUAUUUUAAUUAGGGUUUGUAUUGGAUAUUGUAAAAUCUUAUCACUUUUUUAUUUUAUAACUUAUUGUGUGUAAGAAUAAAUGUGAAAUAAUUUAUAUAUUUUAAGAUUUGCUGUCUGAAGUUUUCAUAUUUUCCAAAUUCAGUUCAAAAACAAUUCCUUACAAAUUAUAUUUUGCCCACUCAAAAUGUUAAAAAUUAAUAUUUCACAGCAUUUGUUUCAGCCCUUGAACUUUAUUUUCUAAUUUCACCCGACACUUGAUAAUGCAUUUCUUUCUUUUUCUUUUCUUUUUUUUUAAUUUUUUUUUGUUAUUUGUGUAUACUUAUCAAUGCUGGCUAUAAUGCAAAGUAAGAGUUCAUUGAGAUAAUAAAUAUUUUCUAUGUAGAUUAGGUUAAAAUCUAUUGCAUUUAAAUUAAGAAAAACAUUGCCUACUCCUUGCGUAUAUCCAGUUAUCCAUUCAUAUGCCAAAUCAAUUAAAAAAAUGUUUUUGGCUGUAAUGGGAUGUUUUUGAUCAUUCAUUGAAAAAAAAAUGAUAGAACAAUAAUAAAUUAAAAAAAUCUCUAUUGAUUGAUUUGUGUACGAUAAAUAUUUAUUAGAGACUUAACUGUAAUUUAUAUAUAAGACCUAAUUAUAUUUUGUGAACUAAAUAUUAUAUUGUGCAUAGAAUUUGAUUACGAUUAUUUCUAAUCAUUCUUCGACACUCAAUUGAUGAUCAAUCACUCCAAAAUAAUUAUUCAAUUCGUAUUUCAAACACUUAUUUAAUAAGGAUUCCAACUACAACUUUAAUCAAUAUCUUUCUACAAAACUCUCUACACAGUUAGGCAAUAUCUACGCAAUAGGCAACAUAGUAUCUAUUUAAUUGGGAUUAUUUAUUAUUCUUUUACUAAGUUAAGAAUCAAAGUGGUUAUUUGAAAUAUCCCGAAUUUUUAUUUUCGAAACUUUCAAAUUUAAUUUAAACCAAAAAUCGAAAAUUUUUACUAUGUGGACUGUAAUUAUAAUACAGUUCCAAAUUCGAGCCCAAACUUUCCGAAUUGGCCCCAAGCCCAAAAGCAAAUUAUUCGAAAUCUUCGAUUUGAAAACACUUAAAAUUUUUGAGAAAUAAUAUGAAACUCCGGUAAUUAAUUUAUGAUGAAUAUAUAUAUAUAUAUUUAAAUACACAAUUAAAACGAAUAGAAAAUUUAUUAGAAGAUAAACCAAUUGUAAAUGAGAAUGUGAAAGGUAAAGAAAAGGUAAAAACUCAUAUGUUUAAACCUUAUCAAAUUUCUCAAUCUAGUCAAAAAGAAUUUGUACAUCAAUUAAAAGAUCAAUUAAGUAAAAUUCAAGUUAGAUCUGCGACUACCCAACAUGUAGCUCAGGAUACUCCUCAAUCAUCAGCAUCAAGAAACAUAAAUAUAAUUGAAGAAAACACCAACUCUGAUGUUAGUGAACCUGACUCAGAAAAUAUUCAACAAUUUGAAAUCAAUCCUAUAAAUCAUCAUAGAGAAAUAGUAAAUAGAGCACCAGACUUAGGAAUUGUUGAUAAACCUAAUACUAUAUCUCAAUUUAAAUAUAAUGCUUCAACAAUCUAUGAAUGGAACAUAGAUGGUUUAAGUGAAUAUAAUAUCUUAAGUAUUUUGCAACAAAUGACAAUGGCUGCAAAUGCUUAUAAAACACAGUCAAUCAUUUCUGAUAAAGCUAUAGCAGAAAUCUUAAUUGCUGGAUUUACCGGCCAACUUAAAGGAUGGUGGGAUUAUCAUCUCACUGACCAACAACAUUUAGAAAUUCUAAAUUCAAUUCAAAUAAAUGAUGAAGGUGAACCUAUAUAUGAUGAAAAUGGUGAAGUAAUUCAAGAUGCGGUGUCAUCUUUAAUUCUCACCAUUUCACUUCAUUUUAUAGGAGAUCCAUCUCACUUAAAAGAUAAAAAUGCCGAGUUACUUAGUAAUUUAAAAUGUAAACAUUUAGGUGAUUUUCAAAAUUAUAAAACGACUUUUCUCACUAGAUUAAUGUUAAGGGAAGACUCUAAUCAAAGCUUUUGGAAAGAAAAGUUUUUAGCUGGGUUACCUUAUUUCUUGGGAGAAAAAGUUAGAAAUCAUAUUAAACAACAACAUGGUCAACCUAUACCUUAUAGUAAGUUAACCUAUGGACAAUUAAUUAGUAUAAUUCAAAAGGAAGGUUUACAAAUAUGUCAUGAUCUAAAACUUCAAAGAAAAAUAAAAUAUGAAAUGCAAAAAACUAAAAAAGAAUUAGGAUCAUUUUGUAAGCAAUUUGAUUAUAAUUUCGUAUCAAACCAACGAUGUGAUGGUCAAUGUUCUAAAACAAAUAAACCUAAAAAAUAUUAUAGAAAUAAAUACUCUAAAAAACAAUAUAGAUAUACACCUAGUCAAGAUAAAUUUUAUAGUAAAAAGAAGACAAAAUCUUCUUAUAGAAACAAAAAUAAACAACCUUCUAGAUCUACCACUAAAACUUCUUAUAAAAAUUUAACUUGUUACAAUUGUGGUAAAAAAGGGCAUACAUCUAAAUUUUGUAAAUUUAAUAAAAGAUUACAUGAAUUAAAUUUGGAAGAAAACGUUUUAAGUAAAAUAUACGAACUCUAUAUUGAUUCGGAUUCUUCGGAAUCUGAGACUAAUGAAAGUGAAAAUCAAAUUGAUGAAUUAGGAACUACUUCAAGUUCUUCCAGUUCAUCAAAAUUUUCUUUAAACAUGUUAUCUAAAGAUCAAAGCAAUUUAUUAACAGUAGUUAAUGAUAUUGAAGAUCAAGAAACUAAAGCUAAACUUCUUAAAAAACUAAUAAACAGUUUUGAAGACGUAGAUGAAGUAAAAAAUAUUACUCCUAAAAUUCAGUCUAAUAUUUAUGAUUUAACUACCAUUUUAAAUAAAAAUCAACCUAAAAAGGUCGAUAUAGAUGACUCUACUAAAGAAUUAUAUAAAGAAAUUAAGAUGCUAAAAAAUGAAGUAAAAGAAUUAAAAACCCAACUUCAACAAAAUUCUAAAAAAAUAAAAAUAUUAGAAUCUCAACUUAUUUCCAGUUCUUCUUCAGAAGAAGACGAACCAGAUAAUAAUUUAAAAAUAAAUGAAUUAGAUGAAGAUGUAGAUUGUAAUUUUCUCAAUUUAUUACAAGAAAUCACUUCACGAAAAUAUUUAGUAAAAAUAAACAUUCAAAUAAAUGAUUUUGUGAUAGAUGCAAUUGCACUCUUUGACACAGGUGCAGAUUUAAACUGUAUAAAAUCUGAUCUAGUUCCUAAAAGAUAUUGGUUAAAAACUAGUGAAAAAUUAAGUACAGCCAACAAAUCUAAACUUGAAAUUAUAGGAAAAACAGAUGCAAUAAUCAUAGAUCAAGCCUUAGAAAUAAACACAGUAUUUUUACUUUCACCUCAGAUAAAUUAUAUGGUAAUAUUAGGCACUCCAUUUAUAAAUCUCAUCACACCAUAUUCAGUUAAAGAGGAUUGUAUUAAAUUUAAAAUAAAAAAUUGCAAAGCUCAAUUGGAAUUUACGGAAAAACCUAAAAAGAAACAAUUAAAUUUACUAAAAGCUCAUUCUAUUAAAAUGUUAGAAAUAAAUUCUUUAAUCAAAUCUAAAGAAGAAAACUUAAAAGAUUUGAAAAAUAAUGCAUGUUUAAAUAGAAUUAAAAACCAAUUAAAUUCUGAUGAUAUCCAAAAUAAAAUCUCAACUCUAAAAAAUUUUAUGGAAAACAAAUUAUGUGCUGACCAUCCAAAUGCUUUUUGGAAUCGUAAACAACACAUAGUGGACUUACCAUAUGAAAAAGAUUUUGAUGAAAAAACCAUUAAAACUAAAGCUAGACCAAUUCAGAUGAGUCCUGAAUUGAUUGACCAUUGUAAAAAUGAAAUUCAAGAUUUACUUAAUAAAAAAUUAAUUUCUAAAUCUAGAAGCCCAUGGUCUUGUGCAGCUUUUUAUGUAAAUAAAAACGCUGAAAUAGAACGAGGUGCUCCCAGAUUAGUAAUAAAUUAUAAACCAUUAAAUACAGCUUUAAAAUGGAUUAGGUAUCCUAUUCCAAAUAAAAAAGAUCUAUUAAAGCAACUCUAUAAUGCAAAUAUUUUUAGUAAAUUUGAUAUGAAAUCUGGCUAUUGGCAGAUUCAAAUUGACCCUAACGACAGAUAUAAAACAGCAUUUACCGUUCCAUUUGGUCAAUACGAAUGGAAUGUAAUGCCUUUUGGAUUAAAAAAUGCUCCUUCUGAAUUUCAAAGGAUCAUGAAUGAUAUUUUUAACCCUUAUUCUAAAUUUUGUAUUGUUUAUAUUGAUGAUGUGCUUAUAUUUAGUACAACUCUAGAAGAUCAUUUUAAACAUUUAAAAACAUUUUGUAUGAUUAUCGAGAAAAAUGGUUUAGCAUUAAGUAAAGCUAAAAUGGAUUUGUUUAAAACUAAAAUAAGAUUUUUAGGACAUCAUAUAGAACAAGGUAAGAUUCAACCUAUAGAAAGAGCACUUGUUUUUGGUGAAAAAUUUCCUGAUGAAAUUUCUAAUAAACCCCAAUUACAACGUUUUCUUGGUUGUUUAAAUUAUGUAAUUGAUUUUUAUCCAAAUUUAAAUUGCAUGAUAAAACCUUUACAUAAUAGACUUUGUAAAAAUGCUGGUCCUUGGACAACUCAGCAUACUCAACUAGUAAAAAAGAUAAAAUCAUUAGUAAAAGAAAUCCCUUACUUAUAUAUUCCUGAUCCUAAUGCUUUUAAAAUUGUUGAAACUGAUGCUUCUAAUAUUGGUUAUGGCGGCAUUUUAAAACAAAAAAUUAAUAGUAAAGAAAGAAUAAACAAACUGAUGCUUCUAAUAUUGGUGGUGGUGACCUUGCAACUUUCUGGGCGGUUUCACUUUUCCGUCCACCGGGCGGCGGCGGCGGCGGCGGUUCGGGAUCGGCCGGCGAGACUCCGGCGAGACUUCAAAAGGCAGAAUGCUCUCCUCUUCGUGCGGAUCAUGGAAAUAAAAUCCGAUUUUCAAUCGGUACAUUGUAAGGCUUAAUUGUCCAUUUUUCGGUAUAAGGUUUACAACUUGAAUUAACUAAUUAAUUGGAUAUAAGAUUAAUUGAAUUAUUAAAAGUUGGGAGUUUUAUGAAAUUAAAUUGCAAUUUGUGAGUAAAUCCCAAAUUUAAUGACUUAAUGAAUUAAUCGAGUGUCAAGUGGAUUAAAUUGAAUAUUAUAAAAUGUAGUUCAUGAAUAUUAGUUAUAAUAUCGACUUUGAAAUAUGAAGUUUUGCUAAUAAUUAUAUACGUUAAUUUUUGGAAUUUAAUAAGUAUAAAUUGGAGAAAUUAUAAUGUAAGGUAUAGAUAAAUAAAAUUCAUGAUAUUAUGGAAAUUAAAAACUUAUUGGUGAUAGAAUUAUCAAGUGCCUAUGUAUGGUGAAUGACUAAUAAGUGAUGUUUAUGGUGGACGGGAUCGGUUAAUGUGAGUUGCCCGAUGGAUGGGCCGUGUGUUGACAUGUGAGAAAUAUAAAAUUGAGUAGUAUAGUUUAUAAGGGAAAUGCCGUCGAAAUUUCGGUAAAACACUUAAGAAAACUCUUAAAAGAUAGUACGAUUAAAAUUAUUAUCGUUAUUAAUAUUAUGUUGUCACCCGUAUUAUUAUUAUUAUUAGUAUUAUUAUGACUAUCAGUAUUUAUAAGAACAUUACUUAACGAAUGACCAAACGUUUUAUAUAAAACUAAUAACUUUGAAAUAAAUAUAUAAAUGAGGAAAACCCAACAUAUAUGCACAUAUAAUAAAUGAAUUAAAUGGCUGGUAACCAAAACUAAUAAAAGAAUGUGAAAUAUAAGUUUUCGAAUUAAAAUUUUUAUUUAGAAUUUUCUUGUUUAUUUUAAAGGUUUAUAAAAUACCAAAAUGCGAGGACAAAAGCUGGAAGCAUGUGGCUAAAAAGGCAGUCCUUUUAAAGGACAAUAAAGAACUGUGAGUAGUGUUAGAUAACUAGUAUCAUCCGCCUGCAUUCAUGCAUUCACGGCUAAAUGCUAUCAUGCAUUAAUUUGUUGAAUUGCCAUAUUGUGCUGCACUAAUUGUUGAUAUUAAAUAAAUUAUGUGAUUACUUGUGCUGUGUAUAUACUGUGCCUUGUUUGUGUGGAAUUGGGAUGAAGUGGGUCACCAUGGGUUUGUGAGACUGNNNNNNNNNNNNNNNNNNNNNNNNNNNNNNNNNNNNNNNNNNNNNNNNNNNNNNNNNNNNNNNNNNNNNNNNNNNNNNNNNNNNNNNNNNNNNNNNNNNNNNNNNNNNNNNNNNNNNNNNNNNNNNNNNNNNNNCUCUUUGGGCGCACCUGAUGAUCUAGAUUUGAUUGUAGCCCGCAGGGUGGCCUCCUGUUGUGAGCACUUGAUGAUCGAGAUUGGAUGGAGACCACCGAGUUGCCUCCUGUUGGUAUUUUUUUUUUAAACAAAAAAAAAAAAAAAAGAUAGUGAGACUGGAAAAAUAAUCAGAGGACCGACAGUGUGAGGAUUAUACCGGUCAGCCAGAAUGGGGGAUUGGCUCCCUGGUGCACAUGUGAGUGGAUGGGCCAUGUGGGAGGACGGCUCAUCGGGUUCCCGUGACUCCACUGACUAAUUUCCACGUGAUAUGAUUAUAUGAAGGUGAUAAUACUUGUGAUUGCUGUUGUAUUGCCAUUUGUGUGACAAACUGCAUGAUCAUAAACUUCAACAGUGACCAGAUAAAAAUAUUUUAGCAUCUGUGUGACUGUGUGGGGUGAGAGGGUUAUCUAACCCUACUCAUUGAGUUUGGCGCUCACCCCUGCCUACUUUUUUUUUCCAGGUAAUAGAAAGAAAGGAAAGCCCUAUGGAGUUGAAAUACUUAUUAUAGAAGACUUUUAAUGAUAGAAAUAACGAUGUGAAUGUAAAGGUAGAGUUCCGCAAUUGGAUUCCAGUUGGUUUGUAAAUAAAUAAUAAAAGUCCAUAUUACAUAUAUGAACUGUAUUUUGAAUGCAUAUGUAUAAUAAGUAAUGGGCCUGAAUCCAUAAUUAUGAAUAGAAUGUAAGAUUUAAAUAAGUUAGGCUUACUACGGGCUUUGGGGGCCUUAAGCCCACCCAAAUCCUAGUGCCGGUCCGGCCACGGAAAUGGUUCGUGACAUUACUGACUUAAGAGCCGCUCUUUUCUCUCCCUUCUCCAUCCAUGUCUUACAGAUUUCUAUAUCGGUGUAUUAUGGAUAAAUUUUUAUGAAUAUAUCACCUGUAAAUGCUAGCUAAAAUGCCAAGCAAGAGUUGAUCGAGACUUUUCUAUGUAUUUUAGGUUAAAAUCUAUUGCAUUUUGGCAGAAAUAACAAGUUAAUUAAGAAGAGGCUUCUAAGUUAAAAGAAAAGAAUUGCCUACUCCCUAGUGUAUAUCCACUCACAUUCUAAAUCAAUCAAAAAGAUGUUUUUGACUGUAAUGAGUUAUUUCUGUCUAUUCACUAAGAAAAAUAUAAAACAACAAUAAAUUAAAGAAAAACCUUUAUUUUUUUAGAAGAAAGAAAAUAUCUAUUAAUUGAUUUGUCGUACGAAAUUAUCUCAUAGUGUAAGUAUAGGCAAAUUUUAUCAUAUAAAUUAUAGGUCAAAACGAUGAGAUAUUUUAAGGAUACAACAUCUCCUUUUGAAAUUCACCACUUGGAAAAAAUGAGAUUCCCUCCCAAAUUUCAUUAAUAUGAAAAUCUUUUUGUCUCUAAUAUGAAAUUUUUUUAUUAUUUAAAUAUUUUUUAUCGAAACCAUUUUAAUGAUUCUUAACAAAAUACUAUAUAUUUGCUUACUUUUCACUAAUCAGUGAUUACAUUCUAUAUUUGCACCAAAACCACUAAAUCAAUUACUUGUCUUAGUGAAAUAGCCAUUUGGUUAUUUAAAUAUCUGUUGAUAUUGAAAUCAUUAUUUAUUCAUUUGAUUUUUCAACUUUUUAUAUUGCAGCGAAAACAUCGAUUGACAUUAUAGUUUUAGUGCAACAGACUCUCUAUUAUAACAUGUAGUAAAUAGUUUCCAUUUUGAAUCAAAUUGGUAAAUAGUUUUUGAAACAACAUUAUUUUUGUUAAUGUCUUUAUCAAUGGCAAGUAAAAGUUGAUUGAGAUAAUUUUUUUUUUUUUAAGUUAAAAUCUAUUGCAUUUCAAAAAAUAGCAUUUUGUUAUAAAUAAUAACAAAAAACGAUGAUAUAUAGCAAGGACAUGAAAUUUCCUUUUAACUCAUCAGAAUAAAAAAAACGAAAAUGAUUUUUCCUUCCCAAACUUUUUUUUUAUAUGUAUAUAUAAAGUCGGUUCAUCUUGUACUGUCAAUAUCAUUACAAAUCAUAAUCAAGUCCUUAUGGUUAUGACUCACUAGUGUAUCUUUACCCUUUUAGCAGCAUUUUUGCAUAGUAUUGAGCUCCAUGACUUUGCAGGUAUGAUAUAUUAUUUNNNNNNNNNNUUUUUUUUUUUUUUUUGCAAACUUAAUUAACUGAAUUUAACUACUUACAAACUAUCAUUUCUCUGUGCAGGAGCUCAAACUAUUGGUGUUAACUUAUGGCAGAGUUGCUGACAACCUUCCCCUUCCUCAUCAAGUAAUACUGUGUGCAAAUCCAAGAACAUUCAAAGAAUUGAAAAACGAAACCUAAAUUACCCACUUCCCAUUUCCCAAAAUGCCAUCAGAUUCUUCUUCCACGGCAACUAGAAGAUUAACCAAACCCCAUAACACAGGAGCUCCACCGGCAGACCAGGAACACCUUCCAUGCCCGCGCUGCGAUUCUACUAACACUAAGUUCUGCUAUUACAACAACUAUAUUUUUUCCCAGCCUCGUCAUUUCUGUAAGUCUUGUCGCCGUUCCUGGACCCACGGCGGCACCCUUCGUGACAUUCCGGUUGGUGGUGACACUCGGAAAAAUGCUAAAAGAUCACGCACCAGUUCUAGUGGUUUUACUGUAGUAGGUCCUAUGACGGCCACCACAGGUAACCAUAACCUUCCAUUACCGGCUACACCACUACUGGCCCCACUUAUGGCCAAUCAAGCAUCGUCUAUACAGUUUGGCUGCGGUGGCGGUGAUGGGAAGGGUAAUGUGAGUGGUUCUAGUGGUAAUUCUACAGUAUCGGGUAGCUUUACUUCUUUGUUGAAUACUCAGGGCCCUGGGUUUCUAGCAUUGAGUGGGUUUGGGCUUGGACUUGGAUCUGCGUUUGAAUAUAUGGGCUUUGGGCUUGCAAGAGGAGUCUGGCCUUUUCCCGGUGUAGGAGAUGGUGGUGCUGGUGGUGUUGGUGGCAAUGGCGGUUCUGCUGGAGGAAUGAGUAACACGUGGCAAUUUCCCUUUUAUAGUUUGCAGUAUAUAUUUCAAUUUGUAUUUAAUAUAUAAUAAUUGACUGAUUUGAUUUUUGAGGCCCACAUUUAAAUUUUAAUUCCUGGCAAAAUUUAUAAUGAUUUGCUAGUUCAACAUUAAUUGAGUGCAAUCAUUCUCAUAGCAUAAGCAUCACCCAAUUUCUACUCUCCUAUCCCAAUGCAUUACCUGCUCUACAGAUUUGCAGUUGGACCUCUAGAACCUCAGCCUAAUGAAUAAUCAAAUUGCAAAAAUUAUAUUUUCUUUUAUUUUGCAAUUAUUAAAGGGGCAUUUACAUUAAUUAUGAGAUAAAAAAUUAAUUAUGGUGUCGCUUGGACACACUCUACAUUUAUAAUUAAUUUUAACUUCAAUUUUCAUAAAUUUUCGAAUAGAAGAAGAGAUGACAAUGAUUUUUUCUCUGUUAACUAAAUAUGUUAACUAAAUAUUUUAAGUUCUAACAACAGAAUCUAAUUAGUCAGAAAAAAAAAAAUACUCUCUCUGUCUUAUAAAUAUAUAUUUACUUUAUCUUUUUUUUUAGACCACUUUUAUCACUACAAAAAAAACGGCAUUUUGUGACCGACCAAUCGGUCGCAAAAUGCCAAAAAAUCGGUCGCUAAAUCAAUUAGAGACCGAUUUGCGACGAAUACUGUCGGUCGCAAAUAAUCGGUCGCAAAUCAGUCGCAAAUCGGUCGCAGAAGUUAUUCCUAAUUUUGAAGCGCGCAAUUUUGCGACGGAAUAAAACGUAGUCGCAAACCGAUCGCAAAAUCGGUCGCAAAUCCGUAGUACAUUAGUCGCAAACUGAAAAACAAACUCCCGAGAAUUUUUAGCACUACAAUUAGCGACUGUUUGUCCAUAGAUCGCAAAUCGAUCGCAAAAUUGCGACUGAUUUGAAUCGAUCGCAAAUCGGCGAUUUUUUUUGUAGUGUAUCGUGGAAGAUACAAUUAUUUUCUUACUCUCGUAACCUACCUGAUACUUUGUUAGUAACAACGUUUGCAUUUUUUAUUGAAAGUGACAUAUUAUCUUAAUAUAGGGUAUGUUAGGAAAAAUGAAAGUAAAAUUUAAUAUUAUUCUAAUAAUAUUAAUUGCAUUGUUUAAUCUAUGUAAAAAUAAAAAUAAUCGUAUCUUUUUAGGCAAAGAGAGUAAUAUAAUAAAAAAAUUAAAAUUAAGCUUGACAUGUAUACUAGAAUGGAUUAAAUUAAAUAAGAUACUGUUAUUUUUCUUUAACAUUAAAUAAAAAGUUAAGGCCAAAUCAAACUAAAUUAUAUAUGAUAUAUAUUAUAUAUAAAAUACGAGGAUAAUGAGUUCCUAAAAUGCGUCGCUAAAUUUUCAAAUUGACAAAAAUAUUAUGGAUCGAGAACUUUAAUUUUGUUGGUUGAAAAAUAAAUAUAGUUUAAUUUUAAUUGUUUACGUCAAUUUGCUAUUUGAAUCUAAAUUUUAUUAAGAAGUUUAAUCUAAUUUUAAAUAGAAAAUUUUCUAAUUUAGUUUCAUGCAAAUUUGGAUAAAAAUAAAAUAAAAUAUUAUUAUUUAGAAAUUUUAAUUUAAUUGCUUAACUAAUUUCCUAUUAUAUAAUGAUUUGCUAUAUGUAAGGGAGAAAAAAAAAACGAUUACGUUAUAUUAAUCCUAUUAUACUACUUUCUACAUUGAAGGAAAAAAAAAACAACUGACUAAUUUCUUUCUGUUAUAUUCAUACCUUCUAUUCGUGGGUAAUAUAUAUAUAUAUAUAUAAAUAUUAAUAUAAAUAUAGAAAUUAUUAAUAUAAAUUAUUAUUAAUUAUUAAUAUAAAAUUAUAUAUAUAAAUAUAGAUAUUAUUAAUAUAUAUAGAUUUUGUUUUAAAAAUGAGUUUGAAAAUUAGCUUAUUCGACUCAAUUAGGAAUAUUAACUCGAUUAGGAGUAAGAAAUUAGCUUAUUCCACAAAUUAUAUGAAAUCAAUUAUUUACAUAAGCUAGUGUGAAAAAAUUUAUAGUGUUAUCAAAAUCCUUAAUUGUAGCGGUAUAUAUGAUAAAUCCCUCUUAACUUUUAGGGUGUCACAGUUGUUUUUUUUUUNNNNNNNNNNNNNNNNNNAUUAAUUUAGAUAUUUGGCUACAUAAUUAAUUAUUUCUUCUAUAUGUUUAGAUUUUGAUUUGAUAGAAAUAGAAUAAUAAUAAGGAGAUGACUGCAAUAAAUUGAAUUUUUUUUAUAAAAAGAAACCGAGCAAAGCUGAAAUUUGUUUAGAACCAAAUCAAACUAAUUUAAUUAAGCUUAGUUUGAUUUACCUUUUUGAUUUUUCCUUAUUUUUUAAGAUUUUAAAACUUAAAUAGUUAAAAAAAAAAAGAAUUUUCGAUUUUUCUGUAUACACUAAAAUUGAACUGAUAAAUUUUGAAAUCAAAUCCAUUCGAUUCGGUGAAUUCAGUCUAUUUUUUCAGAUAGUUCUCAGCCUAAUCCAAAUGAUGAAAUAUGGUAUGAAUAUAAAAAUUUCCAUUUAAAAUUCACAAGGAAAAUUUCUUUUCCUAAGAUAGCAUAUAUCUAUUUACGUUAAUUUUUUUUUUAAUCUAUAAAAUCAGUCCAUCUUAUAUUGUCAAAAUCAUUGCAAAUCAUAGAUUCAUAACUAAGUGCUCGUUAAGAUUAUCUAUGGCUCGUCCUAUCUUUAGCAUUUUAGCAGCUUUUUUGCUUAUUAUCGAGUUCCAUGACUUUGUUGGUAUGUUAUAUUAUUAUUUUUCUGAAAAAUAUUAUCAUAUUUGAUUAUUAUUAUACUUUGUACAAGUUUUUAGGAUUUGUUGGGCAAAAUUAACUGUUUUAGUUGUAUUUGAUUGUUAGUUAUUAACUGUUUGAGUAGUCCUAAAACAUUACAAGUUAAAUGUUAGAUUGGUUAAUUUUUUAUAAAACGCUACCUUAACUUCUAAAUUGAAUUGGUUAGACAGUUUAAACAAAAGUUUUUCUUCCCUUACUUCUUAUUUAAGUUACACAGUUUUUUCCAAAUGCUAAUUUUCUUGCCUGGUAAACCACCAUUGGUGCGAUGCAGGAGCAGAAAUUGGUGUGACCUUCUCAAGACUAGCAGACAACUUUCCACCAGCACAAGUAGCUGUAAAAUUUGCUAAAUCGAAGGGCUUCAAAAGAAUUCGUCUUUACAAGCCCCAUCACGAUGCGUUACAAGCACUGAAAGGUCAGGGCAUACAAGUGAUCUUAGGAGUUGGCGACGACGAAGUUGAAGCAGUAAGUAAAUCCGCUGCACCGAAAUGGGUCAAAGACAAUGUUGUGCCAUAUGCAAAUCAAAUAACCAUUAUAGCCAUAGCUAUUGGACAUGAUCUAAUCCCUAAUAGUAAAUUAGCAGUUUACGUUCUUCCUGCACUGCAAGCAAUGAAAGAAGCACUGGUAGAUCAUGGGCUUCCUUUUAUUUCUGUAACAACGCCAUUUACAUUAGAUACACUUCUUACACAUUUUCCUCCAUCCCAUUCAACUUUUGAUCCAGAAAAGAUUUAUCUUAUUAAACCCAUUAUCAAUUUCUUGGCAACUCAAAGUCCUCUUCUUUUAUGCGAUAUUUACCCUUAUGAAACUUAUCUAAGGGACUCUCACCUUGUCAGUUUAAAUUAUGCUUUGCUUAAUAAUACAAAUGUUGAGGUUGUAGAUGUUCCAUUCGGAUAUACCAAUAUGCUUGAUGGUUUAGUAGAUGCUUUUUACAGUGCAAUUGAAAAACUUGAAAACCUUGAAGCAGGAACUGUUAAGAUUGUUGUGAGUGAAACUGGGUGGCCGUUUUCCGAAGAAAUAUAUGCUUCUGCUCAAUAUGCAAGAACGUAUGCUUCAAAUGUGUUCAAACGGGGACAAGCAAAUACAGGAACACCGAAGAAACCUUCUUGGGCAUUGGAUGUUUUUGAAUAUAACUUGUUUUUUCAAGAUAAUGCUCCUCUAGAUAAGAAACCAUAUGCUUUAUUUUACCCUAAUAUGUCUGCCAUAUAUUUUAAUUAGGGUUUGUAUUGGAUAUUGUAAAAUCUUAUCACUUUUUUAUUUUAUAACUUAUUGUGUGUAAGAAUAAAUGUGAAAUAAUUUAUAUAUUUUAAGAUUUGCUGUCUGAAGUUUUCAUAUUUUCCAAAUUCAGUUCGAAAAGAAUUCCUUACAAAUUAUAUUUUGCCCACUCAAAAUGUAAAAAAUUAAUAUUUCACAGCAUUUGUUUCAGCCCUUGAACUUUAUUUUCUAAUUUCACCCUGCACUUAAUAAUGCAUGCAUUUCUUUCUUUUUCUUUUCUCUCUCUCUUUUUUUUUUUUUUUUCCGUUAUUUGUGUAUACCUAUCAAUGCUGGCUAUAAUGCCAAGUAAGAGUUCAUUGAGAUAAUAAAUAUUUUCUAGGUAGAUUAGGUUAAAAUCUAUUGCAUUUUGGCAGAAAUAACAAGUUAAUUAAGAAGAGGCUUAUAAAUUAAGAAAAGAAUUGCCUACUCCUCGCGUAUAUCCAGUUAUUCGUUCAUAUGCCAAAUCAAUUAAACAAAUGUUUUUGGCUGUAAUGGGAUAUUUUUGAUCAUUCAUUGAAAAAAAAAAUGAUAGAACAAUAAUAAAUUAAAAAAACUUCUAUUGAUUGAUUUGUGUAUGAUAAAUAUUUAUUAGAGACUUAACUGUAAUUUAUAUAUAAGACCUAAUUAUAUUUUAUGAACUAAAUAUUAUAUUGUGCAUAGAAUUUGAUUACGAUUAUUUCUAAUCAUUCGUCAACACUCAAUUCAUGAUCAAUCACUCCAAAAUAAUUAUUCAAUUGGUAUUUCAAACACUUGUUUAAUAAGGAUUCCAACUACAACUUUAAUCAAUAUCUUUCUACCAAACUCUCUACUCAGUUAGGCAAUAUCUACGCAAUAGGCAACAUAAUAUCUAUUUAAUUGGGAUUAUUUAUUAUUCUUUUACUGAGUUAAGAAUCAAAGUGGUUACUGAUCUAAGAGCCCCUCUUUUCUCUCCCUUCUCCAUCCAUGUCUUACAGAUUUCUAUAUCGGUAUAUUAUGGAUAAAUUUUUCUGAAUAUAUCACCUGUAAAUGCUGGCUAAAAUGCCAAGCAAGAGUUGAUUGAGACUUUUCUAUGUAUUUUAGGUUAAAAUCUAUUGCAUUUUGGCAAAAAUAACAAGUUAAUUAAGAAGAAGCUUAUAAGUUAAAGGAAAAGAAUUGCCUACUCCCUAGUGUAUAUUCGCUCACAUUCUAAAUCAAUCAAAAAGAUGUUUUUGAUUGCAAUGAGGUAUUUCUGACCAUUCACUGAGAAAAAUAUAAAACAAGAAUAAAUUAAAGAAAAACCUUUAUUUUUUUUUAGAAGAAAGAAAAUCUCUAUUAAUUGAUUUGUCGUACGAAAUUAUCUCAUAGUGUAAGUAUAGGCAAAUUUUAUCAUAUAAAUUAUAGGUCAAAACGAUGAGAUAUUAUAAGGAUACAACAUCUCCUUUUGAAAUUCACCACUUGGAAAAAAUGAGAUUCCCUCCCAAAUUUCAUUAAUAUGAAAAUCUUUUUGUCUCUAAUAUGAAAUUUUUUUAUUAUUUAAAUAUUUUUUAUUGAAACCAUUUUAAUGAUUCUUAACAAAAUACUAUAUAUUUGCUUACUUUUCACCCAUCAAUGAUUACAUUCUAUAUUUGCACCAAGACCAACAAAUCAUUUGUUCGUCUUAGUGAAAUAGCCAUUUGAUUAUUUAAAUAUUUUUUGAUAUUAAAGUCAUUGUUUAUUCAUUUGAUUUUUCAACUUUUUGCAUUGCAGUGAAAUUACUGAUUGACGAAGUAGUUUUAGUGCAACAUUCUCUGUAUUACAGCACACAGUAAAUAGUUUCCAUUUUGCAUCAAAUUGGAAAAUAGUUUUUGAAACAACAUUAUUUUUGUUAAUGUCUUUAUUAAUGGGAAGUAAAAGUUGAUUUUUAGGUUAGAGUCUAUUGCAUUUCAAAAAAUAGCAUUUUGUUAUAAAUAAUAACAAAAAACGAUGAUAUAUGGGAAGGACAUAAAAUUUCCUUUAAACUCAUCAGAAUAAAAAAAAGAAAAUGAUUUUUCCUUCCCAAACUUUUUUUUUAUAUGUAUAGUAUUGUCAGUCCAUCUUGUAUUGUCAAUAUCAUUACAAAUCAUAAUCAAGUUCUUAUGGUUAUGGUUCACUCUAUCUUUAGCCUUUUAGCAGCAUUUUUGCUUAGUAUUGAGCUCCAUGACUUUGCAGGUAUGAUAUAUUAUUUAUUUAUUUAUUUUUUGCAAACUUAAUUAACUGAAUUUAACUACUUAUAAACUAUCAUUUCUCUGUGCAGGAGCUCAAACUAGUGGUGUUAACUUAUGGCAGAGUUGCUGACAACCUUCCCUUUCCUCAUCAAGUAAUACUGUGUUACAACAACUAAGUUCUGCUAUUACAACAGCUAUAAUUUUUCCCAGCCUCGUCAUUUCUGUAAGUCUUGUCGCCGUUACUGGACCCACGGCGGCACCCUUCGUGACAUUCCGGUUGGUGGUGGCACUCGGAAAAAUGCUAAAAGAUCACGCACCACUUCUAGUGGUUGUACUGUAGUAGGUCCUAUGACGGCCAACACAGGUGACCAUAACCUUCCAUUACCGGCUACACCAGUACUGGUCCCACUUAUGACCAAUCAAGCAACGUCUAUACAGUUUGGCUGCGGUGGCGGUGAUGGGAAGGGUAAUGUGUGUGGUUCUAGUGGUAAUUCUACAGUAUCUGGUAGCUUUACUUCUCUGUUGAAUACUCAGGGUCCUGGAUUUCUAGCAUUGAGUGGGUUUGGGGUUGGACUUGGAUCUGGGUUUGAAGAUAUGGGCUUUGGGCUUGCAAGAGGAGUCUGGCCUUUUCCCGGUGUAGGAGAAGGUGGUGCCGGUGGUGUUGGUAGCAAUGGCG
This 22175-nucleotide long non-coding RNA is filed under the name Jatropha curcas. RNAcentral describes it as "long non-coding RNA (JCUR_LNC002077)". Lineage: Eukaryota; Viridiplantae; Streptophyta; Magnoliopsida; Malpighiales; Euphorbiaceae. The record is from RNAcentral.